AACAGGAUUAGAUACCCUGGUAGUCCACGCCGUAAACGAUGUCGACUUGGAGGUUGUUCCCUUGAGGAGUGGCUUCCGGAGCUAACGCGUUAAGUCGACCGCCUGGGGAGUACGGCCGCAAGGUUAAAACUCAAAUGAAUUGACGGGGGCCCGCACAAGCGGUGGAGCAUGUGGUUUAAUUCGAUGCAACGCGAAGAACCUUACCUACUCUUGACAUCCACGGAAUUCGGCAGAGAUGCCUUAGUGCCUUCGGGAACCGUGAGACAGGUGCUGCAUGGCUGUCGUCAGCUCGUGUUGUGAAAUGUUGGGUUAAGUCCCGCAACGAGCGCAACCCUUAUCCUUUGUUGCCAGCGAUUCGGUCGGGAACUCAAAGGAGACUGCCGGUGAUAAACCGGAGGAAGGUGGGGAUGACGUCAAGUCAUCAUGGCCCUUACGAGUAGGGCUACACACGUGCUACAAUGGCGCAUACAAAGAGAAGCGACCUCGCGAGAGCAAGCGGACCUCAUAAAGUGCGUCGUAGUCCGGAUCGCAGUCUGCAACUCGACUGCGUGAAGUCGGAAUCGCUAGUAAUCGCGAAUCAGAAUGUCGCGGUGAAUACGUUCCCGGGUCUUGUACACACCGCCCGUCACACCAUGGGAGUGGGUUGCACCAGAAGUAGCUAGUCUAACCUUCGGGAGGACGGUUACCACGGUGUGAUUCUAUGACUGGGGUGAAGUCGUAACAAGGUAACC
This 731-nucleotide ribosomal RNA is filed under the name uncultured bacterium. RNAcentral describes it as "bacterial SSU rRNA". It matches the Rfam family "Bacterial small subunit ribosomal RNA", at positions 771 to 1501 of the family's 1533-position model. The record is from RNAcentral.